Molecule: long non-coding RNA, 1013 nt
Filed under: Oryctolagus cuniculus (rabbit)
Lineage: Eukaryota; Metazoa; Chordata; Mammalia; Lagomorpha; Leporidae
Description: lncRNA (ENSOCUG00000034226.1)
Source: RNAcentral
AAUUGUUGUUCUCUACAAAAAAACUAUUCUUUAUUCCUUCAAAAAAUGUGGAGUUGAAGUUGUUCAAAAUAUAGAUAAUGACAACAAAAGCUUGGAGAGACAAAAAGGACAAUAAAUCACUUCAGGACAAAAUUCCAUUUCACUCUGUCUCCUGUAGAAGAAAGGCUGGAAAUCUUGGAACAAACCAAAGAAAUGGACAUUAAUGAUGAGUCAUUUUGAUCAAAGAGACCAAAAUAAGGGCAGACAACAAUCUCUAGACAGAAGAUAAUGGCAGCUGAAUGUUGAUGAAGAUUUCCCUGAUAUGAUUUCAGUUAAUUAAGAACACCAGUGUUUCUGAAAAUGGAACUUCCUCUGUAUCAGAGGCAGGGGGAGAUCAUUUUGACAGUUCGAAUGAUCUGAGAGUUGACUGGAGUCGUUUGGAAGUUUGAGGUCAGGAAACAACUUUGACGCAAUUAUUAAUCAUGAUGGACAUAUUCACUCCAUUAGCUACUUAAAAUCCAAUUUGGUGGGGCCUUAGUAUAGUAUCCAUUAAAAAGCAUUGUAUGACAAUUUUUUCUUCCUUUAGAAACAAACCAACUUUCUCAUCUUUGUUAAAUCUGAGAAGGAAAAAAUGUGCAUAAACGGGAAUACAUAAACCGAUUGUUCACUCUCUAACAAGGCAGUAGGUCUACUGGCCAAGCAUUCCCAUGUGGCCAUCAUCUGCCAGUGAUCUGCUUCCAUUAUAGCAGCUUUGAGGAAAGAGGCAUGCAGAGAAAGAUAUAUACCAUUUACACUGAGGAGUAGCUUGAUGGUUGAUGGGCAACACUCUCUCCGUGGUGCCAGCAAACAUGUAUUUCAGAACUAUUCAUAGUUCAAUUUUAGAGAGUGUAAUUCUCUGAUACAAAAGCCUGUUGAUUUAUGGAUAGUUAUGAGACAAACUGUUCAUCUCAUACUUCUCAGUAAAAGGUGUUAUAAGGCAUUUUUGUAAAGCUGUUGUUACUGUCCCAAAAAUAAAUCUCUAAGGACAACAUACA